This 442-nucleotide ribosomal RNA is filed under the name uncultured bacterium. RNAcentral's name for it is "partial 16S ribosomal RNA". It matches the Rfam family "Bacterial small subunit ribosomal RNA", at positions 338 to 795 of the family's 1533-position model. The record is from RNAcentral.
CCUACGGGUGGCAGCAGUGGGGAAUAUUGGGCAAUGGGCGCAAGCCUGACCCAGCAACGCCGCGUGAAGGAAGAAGGCUUUCGGGUUGUAAACUUCUUUUGUCAGGGAAGAGUAGAAGACGGUACCUGACGAAUAAGCCACGGCUAACUACGUGCCAGCAGCCGCGGUAAUACGUAGGUGGCAAGCGUUGUCCGGAUUUACUGGGUGUAAAGGGCGUGUAGCCGGGUUGACAAGUCAGAUGUGAAAUCCUGCGGCUUAACCGCAGAACUGCAUUUGAAACUGUUGAUCUUGAGUACUGGAGAGGCAGACGGAAUUCCUAGUGGAGCGGUGAAAGGCGUAGAUAUUAGGAGGAACACCAGUGGAGAGGGCGGUCUGCGGGACAGCAACUGACGGUGAGGCGCGAAAGCGUGGGGAGCAAACAGGAUUAGAUACCCUAGUAGUC